AGCGAGCAACGCUCGGUGUUUUACGGGCUUGGAGGAGAGAGGGGCAGCGGGGACAGGCGCCCCGCCGGGGUCCCCCCGCCGCCCCGCACACUCAGGCCGGGGGAGAACGCGCGGCUGUGGGCUGCUGGAGCAGGCUUCGUUAUUACUCUAAUUAAUUAUUAUUAUUAUUGUUAUCGUCAUCACCGUCGUCGUUAUUUAGGCUUCCACCCGUCGGAGGUUCCCCGAAGAAAGAGCACGGAGGGUCAGGAUUAAGCAGGAGCUCCCCAGCCCCAGGCUGGCAUCACCGAGGAGUUCCAUCCAUUCAGGGAACGGGAGGCGGUGGGAGUUGAGCGGCCCCUCGGGACCGCGGCUGAGCUGCUGCUCUCCCCGCCGGCCCGGGCGUAAGAAGGGCUGGGGACUGCCCGUGAGCCGUGUUCGUCUGCUGCUGGGAGUUUGUGAGACCCCCGGCUUUUGCGUGUAAAUCAGUUUCCACUCGUCCUAACUGCAGAGAAAGAUCUUUGAGACCAGAGCUCGAGGACAAAACCCCAAAGCCCAUCUUGACCCAUCCUGCAAUCAGCACACACAAUUUGCAGAAGCAUUUGUAUCCUAAGAUGAUUACUGAAAAUGACAUUAAAAAAAGGAAUGUGAAAAUCACUGGUAAGCAAUCCAUGGUAUUGCUUUUCAAUUCUCACUAUGAUUGCAUGGGAAUGUAUUUCUCAGGACUCAUUAGAUCAGGGAUUUUGGCUUGGAGCUGUAUUUGACAUGGAGCUUGAUAAAUUGGUCAAGCUGCUUGGAUCGAUAAUUGUCAUCAUUUGAACAGAAAAUUAACAUGAAAAUAUUUGUUUGCAGACACCCAGAGUCAAGUAACUGGAGGAUUCUGUGGAUACAACCACACAAUGUAAAACAGAAACCCAUUCAAAUACUGUUCAUCAUUUCUUUUAAUGCACUUUUAACAUUACCUUCAACUUUCAAACCCAAAGCUAGCAGAUUUUCCCGUUAGUCCCAGGGGAAAGUACUCAGCUUUUGGAUGUACCUAGUUCAAAUAUGCCAGAUCUCUCCAAUUUCCUACUUACAUGUUUUCUAAGAAAAUCUCCCGUGACAAUUGCUUGUCAGAAAAUGUGAAUGAGUCAUAACUCCUAAGCCCUAUGAAACAAUUUACAGGGAUUUAGAAAUAGGCAGGGAUUAUCACAGUUCAUACACAAAAUUAAUACCACCUUUUUUGAAUGAUAGCAGCAUUCGUUCAAACAAUAGUCUCGCUUUGCUUUGAAAACUAUGUAGCUCUUCAUCCCAGUUUUAGCAGUCAUGUUUCUUGUACAAAAAUGCCAGCAAGGAUAUUAAUAGCCUCCUCAAUUAUUAAAAAAAAAUAAGAUGCUCCCUAUCCCAUAUGAAAUUCUAGGUGCUCUGUGUUUCUAGUAAGGAUGGUAUUUCAGUUUACUGUGUUUAUGAGGAUGGUCAAACACUGAAUGCAAAACUCAGUGGGUCUAUACCAUUUGAAUAGAAAUUAUUCAAAAGUUAGAUUAUUAGACCUAAUUUUCUUCUUUAUGCAGGAAAACCAAGCAGCUGUACUUCAAAAAGGCAUGCAUUUAGAUCCAUAAUGGGAAAGGUACUGAAAUGGAAACAAAUAGAUGGAAGUGAUUGCUUUAAUUUCCAAAUUUUACAUACAAAGAUUUAAAUGCAAUUUCUACAGGAUGCCCAGCAAGCAAAACCCUUUAGAGCUUUGAGUCUCUCAGACAGCACUUUUAGAGAUGUCUGCUGUGUAGUUUUUCUUGUGUCCUAGCAGAUUUUCAUCUGAUGUUCCUAAUGAGAUUUCUUUAAAUACAUGAAAAUAACACUUACUCAGUUUUCCUGAGCUACAGCAACGUCUGUGUUUCCUACAAUGAUAGCCUUUUCAAUUUCUAGUACCAAGACUUUGGCAGUAAGGCAAGGUAUGUCCCUUCAUUUGGGUGAAAUGCUGACCUUGAAAGUGGAGUUCUGUCAUUGAUUUCAGUAGGUCAAAGAUUUCCCUGCAUCUGGUAUAAAAUCAAGGGCAUUUUUCAUGACAAGUAAAUAUAUGGUAAUGGCACAAAGUUUCUAAAUUCAGAACGGAAUUGCCAUUAACCGUGACAAAACCAUGUUGCACAAAAGCUUUCCAUUCACUAAGAUUUCUGAAGUAUUGCUUUGAUCUUGUGGUUCAUAAAGUUUUCAAGAUUGGUUUAAUACCUUUGGUGUUUAUAAGGUAUUUAUCUAAACUUUUUAUAUUCAUGUGAUACACUGAAAUUCUUAAGCCAUUUAUCAGCCUUUUAAUCAGUAAAUUAUAUGAUGAUAAAAACCCCCUCCCAUAUACAUGUUAUCAUCCUGCCUUCCUUAUAGACUGUUGUUGCAUUUCAAUAAUUUAACUCAAAUAAACAGUCUCUGAAAAGGAAAAGUUCCAAUUACCAGUGAGAAAAAAUGGUUUCAGCUUCCAAAGUGUAUUCACAGCAUAGGAGUUGAAAAGGGUUUUGUUUUAUGGGUUUUGUUUGUUUUAAUGUGGAUCUCCAGAAAGUUGCAGAACCGCAUCUCUUUCAAAAGUUUCUGAUGAACACUAGGAUCCGGGUUCUCACAUGUGAAACCUCUAUGUUUAUGUGGGAUUUUGUUUGGUUGUUUUGGGGGUUGUUUUCAAUCUAGGAAAAGUAUAAUUUGAGCAAAUUCUUGCCCUAUAUUAUGCUAGUAUAAUACUGCUUUGGACUUCAGUGAGGAAGAACCUCAACCUUAUCCCAAGUAGGUUGAUAUAAGGGCAUUCUACCCCCAGAACUAUUGCUAAGGUAUUAAAAUAAUUAACUUUUUUUCUUGCCUUCUUUCUUAAGUUGCUGGAUUUUGCUCCUGCCCUGCCACCUAGCAGCCUGCCUUUGGAAAACAAAACCCAAUGUCUUCUUAAAAUUCUGUAAGGAAACUUAUUCAGACAGAAGAUGUUUACCUCUUGUCUAAGGACACUCAGAAAUUCCAAAUGCUUGACAUACCCUCCAAAAUUAAUUACUGGAAAGGAUAUAAAACAUGACAAAACAACACAUCUCUAGAUCACCUUUCUGAGUUGUUAGCACAUGAACAUUAGAUGACUGAAUCAUUAGAUUCCCCCCCCCCCUCCUUUUUUCCCUCUCUACAGUAUUAGAUUUUUUUGCUCAUUGGAAAUGCGGCAUGAAAAUGGAAAACAACAUGAACUUGUGCCCACAUUAAUUCUGUUUUGUCUUUUUGUGUUUGCUUUUGUUACAAGCAGCAAGGCGCGUAGCUCACUCAAAAUCAAUAGUGGCAUGAACUCAUUUGGUCUCUCCCAGGACAGCAGAAUUUUCCAGCUGGUCAGAAGGACCUUCAUGACGUCGGCUGGCAAAACCUUGCUGGUCUUUAGAGUUGUGUUUGACGUGGCACAACGGAAUGCUAACCUGACCUCAUCAGCUCAGAUACCUCCCUGUCCUUUGGGAAAACAGAGUUGUGCAAUGUAGCCUGUUCUAAUAACUCCUGGCAAAUGCAGGCUAACCUUUUCGGUCCAGCAGCCACAGCUGGUGAAGCAGAAGGACUCCCUUCAGUUUGAAAAUACUUCAAGAACAAGUCACACUGUAAGGAGUUCAAAAACAAUUCAGUUGAAAGAAGACACUUUGUUUUCAAAAUAAAGAUGUUCUUGAAGAAGUGGUGCCAUUCACACCCGGCUCUGUCUCCCAUCCAAGAAACAGAAGUGCAUGAGCGCAGUUAAAGUGAACAGAAAGUUUCCACUGCUCUACGUUACUCUCUUCCCAACAGCAUUAUCCUGGCAAAUGAAGAAAAAAUGGCAUUUCUUAUUUCUCCCAUGGGAAGGAUGCAUUCACUCCCCAACAGAAAUCUCUUCCUUCUCACUCCAAGAGCAAAAAGUUUACCUUGGCCAAAUGCAGAGUAUUUUAUUUAACUGUGAAGCCUGUCUUACUUUAAAAUUUGAAGAUUAAUGACUCUGUGCAACAUUCUAUGUCUCUUUCCUGCCAUAUGUUCAGGGGGGUGUCUUAUCACUAUGGUUAACAUCUGAAUCCAUGUAGUCAUCAUUUCUUGAUUCAUGUUACAGAACAGGAAGACCCAUAAAGUUUUGUCACUUGGCUGCAACAAGAUGCAAAUUGCCUUAUUUUUCACAUUUAAGUGGGACAGAUAAAAGCAGUGAGGUGGUCACCUUUCAGUAUGUUCUGCAGAGAGCUCCAGGCAACCAGUGAAGUCUGAAAGUUUUUUUUUGAGAUAUCAUGUCUUUACACUGAUCCAGUUUUUGCUGUUUGCUUGAUUUAAUGGAUGAUGCAGUUUCUUGUCUGGAUUUUUUGCCUAAAACAAAAAUCUGGGUAUGUAGAAAGGUUUGCCUGUUCCUUAAUGUGUUCCCAAACAAAGCAGCAACUUUAGGAAGAAUACAAAGACCUCAGAGUCAUUCUGGACAAAAAAACCACCUAAAACCCCAGAAGCAGACUAGAACAGUCUGCUUGCAUAACAACUGUGCACGCCUCCCAGGAAAGGUGCCUGGGAGACUUCCAGUCUUAAAAAUCAUGGGGACCAGAGGAAAAAGAUAACCUCUUGUGUGUAGUUAUGGCUUCAACUCACAUACACAUACACAGUUCUAUGUUUAUACUCUUAUCUGUGCUCCUGGGUUCUCAUAUACUCUCAUGUGUUUAUAGUCAUAUGUAUGUGUGUAUUUACAUUAACUUGAUGGUUAACCUUCACAUAGCCUUUUAAAUACCUCCUGAACAAGACUUGCUUCCAUUGAUCCUAUAAGCCAGUUUAACAUUGGCACAGCUGGAAGGUGAGGGCAGAGAAAAUAUUUUUUGUGUACAUCUAGACUGAAACUUUGAAUCUUGCUCAAAUGAAUGAAAUGUACAAUUCUAAUUUUAAACUUUUGAUGAUGCCACACUGGUCCCUAAACAUUUAAAUCCUGCUGAAAAUACUACUCUUACCAGGGAACGUGGUUUUGGUUUGCUUGUGGGUUUGGGUCUUUUUUUUAAUCUUUGGUUAUUUUAAAUUACUACACAGUAUCUGUUGCUUGAUUUCAAAGAUAAUAUUAGAGAGAAAUCAUGAAUCCAGGCACUCCAGUAACCACUUUUUGAGAACCUGUGUGCAGGCAGGGUGGCUGCUCACCGCCCAGUCAGAGAAACAGGCUUUCAGCUGGCUGAGAGAACAGGCUCCUCUCCCUGUGGCUUUCUUCCUCUUCUGGCACCAUCUCCAGCUUCUCUGUGCUUGAAACCAGUCACCACAUGACUCUGAUGUUGCAUUGCAAAAGGGUGAUUGAAAUUUUACUGUGCUAAACUUGCAGGGCCAAACUUUGGUAUUCAUCCUCAGUGGAAACAGCUACAGCCAGCCCCACACAAGAUUGGUGGGAAGUGCAGCACAGGACCUUUUAUGAUUUGGGGGUGUCACAGUGUGGGAACCUAGAAUGCAGAGAAUAUUUCUCUGCCUGUUUUGAAAGGUUUUACCCCCCUGGACAGUACUGGUUUUGACCUUUGUCCAUGGGAAAAUUUGCCUAGCCUCUGGGAAGAAUUUGAAUCUACAAUGGUGUGAAUUAGGUGAUAGAAUACUAUGUGAGAUUAUCA
Molecule: long non-coding RNA, 5516 nt
Organism: Corvus hawaiiensis (hawaiian crow)
Lineage: Eukaryota; Metazoa; Chordata; Aves; Passeriformes; Corvidae
Exons: 4
Source: RefSeq, a predicted model, not a curated record